This 1003-nucleotide ribosomal RNA is filed under the name uncultured bacterium. RNAcentral's name for it is "bacterial SSU rRNA". It matches the Rfam family "Bacterial small subunit ribosomal RNA", at positions 8 to 968 of the family's 1533-position model. The record is from RNAcentral.
AGAGUUUGAUCCUGGCUCAGGACGAACGCCGGCGGCGUGCCUAAUACAUGCAAGUAGAACGCUGAAGGAGGAGCUUGGUCUUCUGGAUGAGUUGCGAACGGGUGAGUAACGCGUAGGUAACCUGCCUGGGAGCGGGGGAUAACUAUUGGAAACGAUAGGUAAUACCCCAUAACAUUGACUAUUGCAUGAUAGUCCAUUGAAAGGUGCAAAUGCACCACUACCAGAUGGACCUGCGUUGUAUUAUCUAGUUGGGGGGGUAACGGCUCUCCAAGGCGACAAUACAUAUCCGACCUGAGAGGGUGAUCGGCCACACUGGGACUGAGACACGGCCCACACUCCUACGGGAGGCAGCAGUAGGGAAUCUUCGGCAAUGGACGGAAAUCUGACCGAGAAACGCCGCGCGAGUGAAAAAAGUGUUCGGAUCUCAAAGCUCUGUUGCAAAAGAAAAACGAGUGUGAGAGUGGAAAGUUCACACUGUGACGGUAUCUUACCACAAAGGGACGGCUAACUACGUGCCCCCAGCCGCGGUAAUACGUAUGUCCCGAGCGUUGUCCGGAUUUAUUGUGCGUAAAGCGAGCGCACGCGGUUAUAUAAGUCUGAAAUUAAAGGCUGUGUCUUAUCCCUAUUACGCUUUGUAAACUGUGUAACUUGAGUGCGCAAGGGGAGAGUGGAAUUCUCUGUGUAGCGGUGAAAUGCGUAUAUAUAUGGAGGAACACCGGUGGCGAAAGCGGGUCUCUGUCUUGUGACUGACACUGAGGCUCGAAAGCGUGUGGAGCACACACGAUUAUAUACCCUCCUAGUCCACGCCGUAUACGAUGAGUGCGAUGUGUGAUACACUUUCCGGGGGUUUAUAGUCGCAGCUAACGCAUUAAACACUCUGCCUGGGGAGUACACCAGCAAGGUUGUAACUCUCAAGGAGAUUUACACGGGGGGCCCGCCCACAACGCUGUGAGAGAUGUUGUGUUUUAUUAUCUUAGACAACGCCGCAGAAAAACAUAAAAAA